CUCCCUGAGGUCACUCUGAAGCUGCAUGCUGCCCAAGCACAGCAAAGAUUUUAUUGUUGUUUUUUGUUUUCCCCUCCUUCUCACUGCCUACAGAGCCAAAGGGCCUGUUUGUUUUCCUCUUAGUUAUCAGAAAGGUUUAUUUGCGAUUGCUUGAGAGAGGAAAAAAACCCUCUGUAGCCACAGGCAGACAAGCUCAGUGCUCAGGAACAUAAUGGCUGGAGCCUGCAGGCCCAUAUGCUCGCCAUCCUGUGAGGUGGAAGGCCAGCUCCGAUCAUCUCCAGCUGCUCAGGAUACAAUUGAUCAGCACCUCACCCUACCCUCAGUGUCUUUGUGAAGGACAAUUUUGGAAGAUCACCAGGUUGCACCUUCAAAGACUGGGCCUUUAGUGAUGCUAGGUUUUCUGCAGGCAGUGAUUUUGUAUUUCACAGGAUCUCCUACACACUGCAACCUUUUACAGCCCACUAUCGCUCAAUCCAGAAGCACAGACUGCUAAUAGCAUGAGAUGAAUAACAGUCCAGAUCCUGACAGCCAUCCAAAGUUCCUGACCAGCGAAAGUGCUCUUACAAGGUUCCCAGCUCAGCAGAGGACAACACCAUGAUGCUUAUGGAUGCAUCUGACUCUCAGUUAAUUCUACAAAUUACCUAGGCACCCACAUGCCAUUGUCUUUGGGCAAGCAUCCACAUCAGGUGCCACAAUGCCUAAGGCAGGCAUGUAAACUAGGUAUUACAGUAUGAGAUUGGAUUUCCAAUCCUGAAUUUGAAACUGUCCUGCUAGACGAUUUUUAAGACACUUCACCUCUGAGUGCCUCUCUUUAAAAUGUUAAGACAGGUAACAAUCACAGUGCAUUGGAAGUAAGACAGCAAUUAGUUCUAGGUGCUUGUGAAUAAAACAUGCUUUACUGAAGACAUGAAAAGACUCAAUAAAUGGGUCGCUAAAUGAAUCUGAAGACCUUUGUGAUACUGGAUAAUUUGGCUAAGAUAGGAUAGUAUUAGAAAGUAAAACCAAGCAGAUGUCUUGGUCACUAUUGUGACUCCACAGAACUAAAUUCUUGUUACCAGUAAACAAUAGCCCUUCCACUUCUAACAAGAGAACCUGUCUUUAGUCUGCCACAAAACAAACAAACAAACAAAAAAACCUGUUAAAAUCUUUUUGAUGUUGCUACAAGGAAAGUGUGAAAAACCUGCCAUUAUGACAGCUCUCCCCAUCUCCGGAGCCAAGCUCUACAGACAGCCAAUAUCAUGUGCGUCCACAUGUGACGGAUCUUACUUGGGCAUGAAAUUUUCAUUAGUUCUUGAGCAGUGCACAGAGGCAGGGUUUAACCAAUCUAAUGAGCUAACACAUACCACUGCCUGACUGGUUAUAGCAGCAAAAAAAGCCAAGAAGGGAAUUUGAUUGAUCCUGUAUACCACUCUUGAUAUAUUUUUCCACCUUACGCUACAACAGCAUUACCAGUUCUUCUACAACAGAGAAGAGAAUGCUACAGGCCAGUAACUUGAGAAGAUCUUUGUUUCCCUCUAUAAUUUCUGUAGACACAAUAAAAAUGAUUUUAUCAGUGAGAAGUGACUCCAGUUUGUUCUUCAGUAGAACAACUUCUAGAGGAAGUCCUGAAAACACAAAAAGCAAGGGUGCUUGUUUUUGUUUUCUGAAUAGAAACUGCCAGACAAAUCCUCAAGCUCUCUAAUACAUGUGAAAUCUUAAGUAACAUCAGCAUCUCUUAGAACUCUGAGCUGGAAUCAAAGACCAUAGAAAAGACCUUUCAGAGUGCAGUAAACUGGCAGUUCACUUCAUCUCACAAGGCAACCUAUUCCUCCUCUUCAGUAUGAUGCCCACAGGAGCUGAACUCUGAGCAGAACCCAUUAAAACUAAGUUCUCCCUUCUGUGUGUUCUUACUCCAAGCAUAGCACUACGCAUAACAGAAAAAUGACAGCACCCACUCCCAAGAAAUUAAAUCCCUGGAUAGCCUUUGAAACAUCUGAAUAUCAUAUUAAUGUAAGAAGGCUUAUACUCCUAGCCCCCGGUCCCCCAGUAUUACCAAGAAGGUACUAACAGCAGACAAUACAAGCACAGAACACUUUUUCAAGCUCCUCUUGCAUCAUAGCUCUGGACACCAGAAAAUUCCUGUAGUUUUCUGAGAAAGAAAAUAUUCACAUCUCAAUGAAAGGAAAAAUAAAGUCACCAUCACCUCAAGAUGGGAAGAAUUUCAGGUGACAUAAGAAUAAAAGUAACCCAUAGAUUGAAAAAGAGCAAGUUUGGCCUCAAUAACAUUUGAACAAAACAUUUGUACUUGAAAUAUCCAAACCAGGGGUAUGUUUCCCAGCAAGGAAUCCUGCCACUGAUACAUAUAGGUCCAGGGCUUUCUCCUCUAAAGACCGAGAUAACAUUCAGAAGAUGAUCCAAUAUACAACAGUCCAGUUUCACUGCACGUCUUCACACAGCUGGACCAACAGCCCACUCAGAGGCAAAUCACAGAAAGAAAGGCUGUGAGCUCUGUGAGUACUAAUGGAGGCUCUUUACAGCUCCUCGCAGAGCACUCACUUUCAUGCUGACAAGCACUGUCUGCGAUCCGCAGGAGCGAC
Molecule: long non-coding RNA, 2576 nt
Organism: Gallus gallus (chicken)
Lineage: Eukaryota; Metazoa; Chordata; Aves; Galliformes; Phasianidae
Source: Ensembl